AGAUUGCCCAGCUUGCACUAGCAGUGAGGCUCCUCCAGUAACAGCUGAACUGAAAGCUGUGUUAGUGGGGGGGACCUUUAGACAUCCCAGAGCGUGUGGUAGAGCAGAGGAGCAAGCAAGGUGCUUUUACUCUUCCCCAUCUCCGGGUGGGAGGUGAAUUCAUGUGAUUGCACCUCUGAGUCUUCACUGACCAAUGACAAGAAGUGAACCUUCAGGGAAACUGAGGUAGGGGAUUCCAGUGGCAUGCUAUACCACAAGGAUGUGUGCUUGAAGAAUGCAAACCCACCUACCUUUAUCUACCUUCAGGGGGUUCUGAGGAUUAACUAGGAUUUACCUGUUGCAAGAGACAGAGGAGGAGAAAGUCAUCCUGUGAUCAACCAGAUUUAUGAGUCACCAAUGUGAUGCAGCUGUGAAAAAGGCUAAUGUAGUCCCAGCGAUGCAUCAGGGGACGUAUUUCCAGAAGCGAUAGGGAGUGAAGUUCUGGAACAGCCUUCUAAGAGGAGCAGUGGGGGUAAAAAACCUGACUGGCAUCAAGACUGAGCUUGACCCAGGGAGCUUAGACACACCUGAGAUCAAGUGGUUGGAUCCACUCACAACAGACUGGUGACUGUCUGGAAGAGGAACGAGGCCAGGCUGUAGCAAUCCAGUCUUGAUUUAAAGCCUUCAUUGAUGGCAAAUCCACCACAUUCCCCAGGAGAAAACAUUCCCAGUGCCCAUGUUUUAUGGGACUUAUGGAAGAGUCUGUAAUGGACGGCACUUCAACCUGUAAAUAUGGCUGUUGCUGCUGUUAUAACUGCUAUGCUCGGCAUCUGCAGUACUGUCUCCUGGUCAUGCCAUUGACGUGCCUUUCAGCUGUUUUCUACUCUGUGUUUGCCAACGAGGAGCCAUCCUUAUGUGAUCCCCUCCGUCCACCUCGUCCCUUCAGUUUGCAAUUUAUUUCCCCUUAAAACCUUACUUUCCUCAUUUACAAUGAGUGGCAUGUGUUUACAAGAAAUGUUUAAAAAGCAAGAGCAAUGCCGUUAGCUUUUUAUAACGAACUAGAACAUUUGACCUAUUUUACUCCCACUUGGUUACUACUUGCCUUUUAAUCAAUCAAAUAAAACUGUGUGAGCAUUGC
Molecule: long non-coding RNA, 1117 nt
Organism: Dermochelys coriacea (leatherback sea turtle)
Lineage: Eukaryota; Metazoa; Chordata; Testudines; Dermochelyidae
Exons: 6
Source: RefSeq, a predicted model, not a curated record